Molecule: ribosomal RNA, 513 nt
Filed under: uncultured bacterium
Lineage: Bacteria
Description: partial 16S ribosomal RNA
Rfam family: Bacterial small subunit ribosomal RNA
Source: RNAcentral
GACGAACGCUGGCGGCAUGCCUAAUACAUGCAAGUCGAGCGAACAGAUGAAGUGCUUGCACUUCUGACGUUAGCGGCGAACGGGUGAGUAACACGUAAGGAAUCUACCUAUAAGCGGGGGAUAACAUUCGGAAACGGGUGUUAAUACCGCAUAAUAUCUUCUUCCGCAUGGAAGAAGAUUGAAAGACGGCUCUGCUGUCACUUAUAGAUGACCUUGCGGUGCAUUAGUUAGUUGGUGGGGUAACGGCCUACCAAGACGAUGAUGCAUAGCCGACCUGAGAGGGUGAUCGGCCACAUUGGGACUGAGACACGGCCCAAACUCCUACGGGAGGCAGCAGUAGGGAAUCUUCCGCAAUGGGCGAAAGCCUGACGGAGCAAUGCCGCGUGAGUGAAGAAGGCCUUCGGGUCGUAAAACUCCGUUAUAAGAGAAGAACAAAUUGUAGAGUAACUGCUACAGUCUUGACGGUAUCUUAUCAGAAAGCCACGGCUAACUACGUGCCAGCCGCCGCUGUAA